CCCAGACUCCUACGGGAGGCAGCAGUGGGGAAUAUUGGGCAAUGGGCGCAAGCCUGACCCAGCAACGCCGCGUGAAGGAAGAAGGUUUUCGGAUUGUAAACCUCUGUCCUUGGUGACGAUAAUGACGGUAGCCAAGGAGGAAGCCACGGCUAACUACGUGCCAGCAGCCGCGGUAAUACGUAGGGGGCAAGCGUUAUCCGGAUUUACUGGGUGUAAAGGGGGCGCAGACGGCAGCGCAAGCCAGGAGUGAAAGCCCGGGGCCCAACCCCGGGACUGCUCUUGGAACUGCGCGGCUGGAGUGCAGGAGGGGCAGGCGGAAUUCCUGGUGUAGCGGUGAAAUGCGUAGAUAUCAGGAGGAACACCGGUGGCGAAGGCGGCCUGCUGGACUGCGACUGACGUUGAGGCCCGAAAGCGUGGGGAGCAAACAGGAUUAGAUACCCCAGUAUG
Molecule: ribosomal RNA, 447 nt
Filed under: uncultured bacterium
Lineage: Bacteria
Description: partial 16S ribosomal RNA
Rfam family: Bacterial small subunit ribosomal RNA
Source: RNAcentral